AUGGCCGGUCGGGUGACUCAGUGCGGGACGACAGCGGGGAGGCAAAUGGCUGGUCCGGCGGCUCAGCAGCUCAGAGUCGGUUCGGUAGUGAGGCCGCAUCGGCGAGGGUGGCGCAAGACGACAGCCAGGCGGAUCUAUCAGCCGCGACGGCUGAGGCCAAGGGCGAGCAGAACAGUGACGAGACCGGUUCGCAGUCGGAGACGGACGGCGCAGACAGCUCAGAACCAGCUUGGCGACUUGACGGCGAGGCGACGGAUCCCUCGUCUGUAUCCAGCAAGGCGGCUCGCAGCAGAGAGGCACCGGCGAAGCGGCGGCAUCGGCCGGCUUGACAGGGGAGACGAUGGGCGGAGCCGUGCGGGAAGGUGCGGGAGGCCAGCGUAG
This 381-nucleotide ribosomal RNA is filed under the name Triticum aestivum (bread wheat). RNAcentral's name for it is "partial small subunit ribosomal RNA". Lineage: Eukaryota; Viridiplantae; Streptophyta; Magnoliopsida; Poales; Poaceae. The record is from RNAcentral.